CUCCGAAAGGCUUUUUUGUAUUAGAGUUCCCAGGUCAACAAAUGUCUUCGUAUACCAAAUGGAUACAAAUGGAGAAGAAUGACUGGCAAUGAGUCUUUUCUUUUAUGAUACUGAAUGAGAGAUCAUUAUACUUCUGUGAUGCUGAUCACGUUUUAUUUCUAAUUAGCUGAAAAAUUUGGUGCAUGUGUCUUUACAUCUUGGUGCAAAAACCAAACACUAAGAAAUCUAUGAGAAAUGGUAUAUCAAGCAAAUACAUUUGCUGGAGAUUCUUGGAGGGACAGAAGAGAAUCCUGUUAUUCAGCUCUGAAGGAUGGAAAGUGGAAUAGACUUAGCAGUCAGACUCUGCAUAAAAUCUUUCUGUUCAGUGCAGGAAAUGAAGCAGGGGUGUUCCUUCUUGCUGCAGCUGGCUUUAACUCAGGGCACUCCUGCUGGAGGCCAGAGCAUAGCUGUGGACCUGUGGCUUCUCUUUCUGUGAGCUCUGACAGAGAGGCUCCAGGACAAGAACAAAGUUACUUAAUAGCAGGGAAAACACCCACCCCCAGGAGAUGGGAUCAAAUUCUGUGUUGUGCCCACUGCAGUGUAAACUGUGAAAGAAGUUGGACCCAAGGGAAACUACUGCUCAGACUCUCACGCUGCUUCUUCGUGGAGCUCAUUGCACUCUUCUCAUGUUUCUCAGGUCACGCCAAAGCAAGACAUGUUCUGCUGGCAUCAGAAGAAAAGGACAGAACUACCUGUUAUACACUCAUGGAAGACAAACAGGAAAACAACCUCCUCUGUGAAUGUUAACUCUCUCUUUUCUUGAGCUUAUGCAGUUACUGGGCAUGUUAGGCUUCCAUGCCAAGAGACUGAAGAAAACUUCUGAUUUCAUUCAGGUUUGCCUUUCUUAAAGCAGUGCCUGACACCUGACAGGAUGCAGCAGCAAUCUGAGGCAUUUUCUGCUCAUGGAGAAUGGUGGAGCCCAGCGGGGGUUCCCAGCCCAGCCAUGGCAGCACACUGGAGCAGCAAUCAAAGGGAACCAGUAGCUUCUGACAAAUGUCACCAAGUAUUCUGACAAUCAUUCUUAUUGGCAGCAUUUCAGCUUCUUGUUUUGACACUCCCCUGCCUUGUCCUUUGAUAUUAGAGGUCUUUAUGUUAAAAUAGGAACUGCAUUUCUCAAGAGAUAAUGCCUGCAGGAUGGUGUGAAGUUGUCUGCUGUGUCUGGUGCUGCCCCUUCAGGUGUUCUUGAUUCACCAUGUGGCUUAAUCCUGCCCCAGGUCAAGGGAUUUCACUUAAUGUGUUUUGUUUGUCAUGUGUGAAUACAUGUUAGAAUGACUUUUAUAUGACUUGGUUUCCAAUACAUUCUGGAUAUUCAAGUCUUUACCUUCACCAUGUCAGUAACUCACUGUUUUUGUUCCAGAAAUUUGUUUUUUUCUGUUUAUUUUAGUUGAAAGCUGGGAUUCUUGUCUGUCUUCUGUUUCCAACAGGUGAGGCUUUAUGAAAGCAUCACACGUUGUAGGAGCUGACAGUGUCAUUCUAGAUGUGCAGUGCUCAGGGGUGUAUCAUACUGGGAGAUGACUCUUUAUACUGUGCCCUUUCUUGACCAGGAGAUUUGAAAAGGUUUAAAGCAGCUCCAUAACUGCUUUUGGACAUUUCUGGAGACAUUCAAACUUAAGAGAUUCCCAAGGAGAUACUUUGGCUGAAGACUGAAUGUCAGAGCUAUGUGAGAAGACUUCAGUGUUUUUGCAGUGACUCUUCAGAACUACUUGUUAUUAAAACAGGGGAAGUUAAAAAUCUGGGCUCGUAUUUUAGCACCAGGGCUUUGUUGAAGACAGGCUGGCUUUUAAAGUCAUUUUGAGACAUGAAUCUCCAUCAAAGGCUUUGUGGUGGUCUGAGCGUAGAGAUCAAAGAUGGAAUUUCUUGGUCCCCAUCUUCACUUGUAGCAGCAGAUUGAGUCAUAGCUGGGGCAAUCUCUACAGGGAAAAAGAUUGUUGAUUUUAUGUAAGCAACUUGCUGCACUGCUUGAUAGCUUUCCAGAUUGCAGGAGUAGAAAUAGCAGUCGCUGUAUCAGAGAGAUCUGUAGGCUUUCUCCUUGGCAGUGGCACAAUCCAGAAUCUUUGAGAACUUAAAUCAGUGCUCCCACAGGGUCUGAGCAUCCAUCUCACACUAAAUCCUUUAAGGGCCGAACAGGAAUUUUACAGUCUUUUUGACUCCAGCUAAGACUUGGAAAAGGCAGACCCUGCCUGGAGGUGCAAGUGAAAAACUGCAAAUGAAAUGGAGAACAAUGCCAUUGGGCUGAUGAUCUGUGUGACUUUACUCGUAACUUUCCCAGCUGUAGAUAUUAUGUUAAUGCAGUUGUCUAAUCUUUUUUCAAAACUAGUACAGUGAUAGUACUGCCUCCUUGCCUGUGGUCAUAAAUUUCUCAGAGUGAUACGCUGCUUUUUUUAUUAUUAUUGUAAAAGAAUAUCUGUUACAUUUACUGCCUUUUUAUAGCAUGAAACAGAAUAAAUUGGCACAUCCCAAUCUUGCUUCA
Long non-coding RNA from Phasianus colchicus (ring-necked pheasant), 2509 nucleotides. Lineage: Eukaryota; Metazoa; Chordata; Aves; Galliformes; Phasianidae. The record is from Ensembl.